This 662-nucleotide ribosomal RNA is filed under the name Methanosalsum zhilinae. RNAcentral's name for it is "bacterial SSU rRNA". It matches the Rfam family "Archaeal small subunit ribosomal RNA", at positions 5 to 666 of the family's 1478-position model. The record is from RNAcentral. Lineage: Archaea; Methanobacteriati; Methanobacteriota; Methanomicrobia; Methanosarcinales; Methanosarcinaceae.
CGGUUGAUCCUGCCAGAGGUCACUGCUAUCGGUGUUCGACUAAGCCAUGCAAGUUAUAUGUUCUUCGUGAACAUGGCGAACUGCUCAGUAACACGUGGAUAACCUGCCCUUGGGACCGGCAUAACCCCGGGAAACUGGGGAUAAUUCCGGAUAUGCCAUGAUAGCUGGAAUGCUUCGUGGUUCAAAAGGAUUCGUCUGCCCAAGGAUGGGUCUGCGGCCUAUCAGGUAGUAGCGGGUGCAAGGUACCUGCUAGCCGACGACGGGUACGGGUUGUGAGAGCAAGAGCCCGGAGAUGGAUUCUGAGACAUGAAUCCAGGCCCUACGGGGCGCAGCAGGCGCGAAAACUUUACAAUGCGGGAAACCGCGAUAAGGGGACACCGAGUGCCAGCAUACAAUGCUGGCUGUCCGCAUGUGUAAACGGCAUGCGUUAGCAAGGGCCGGGCAAGACCGGUGCCAGCCGCCGCGGUAACACCGGCGGCCCGAGUGGUGAUCACUAUUAUUGGGUCUAAAGGGUCCGUAGCCGGUUUGAUCAGUCCUCUGGGAAAUCUGACAGCUCAACUGUUAGGCUUCCAGGGGAUACUGUCAGACUUGGGACCGGGAGAGGUAAGAGGUACCACAGGGGUAGGAGUGAAAUCUUGUAAUCCCUGUGGGACCACCAGUGG